ACGGAGGAUGCAAGCGUUACUCGGAAUCACUGGGCUUAAAGGGCGCGUAGGCGGCGUGUUAAGUCGGGGGUGAAAUCCUAUGGCUCAACCACAGAAUUGCCUUCGAUACUGGGGCGCUUGAGUACACUUGAAGUGGGUGGAACGUGGCGUGUAGCGGUGAAAUUCGUAGAUAUGCCACAGAACACCGGUGGCGAAGGCGGCCCACUGGAUUAUAACUGACGCUGAGGCGCGAAAGCGUGGGGAUCAAACAG
This 251-nucleotide ribosomal RNA is filed under the name uncultured prokaryote. RNAcentral describes it as "partial 16S rRNA". It matches the Rfam family "Bacterial small subunit ribosomal RNA", at positions 525 to 775 of the family's 1533-position model. The record is from RNAcentral.